UCGAAUUUCUAUGAUAAAGUGUUAACCUUUUCUCAAAUAAAGGUUUUGUGAAAAUUUGCUUUUUGAUGCUGCUCUAUGAUGAUUCUUUUUGCUUUAACCACACUGAAAAGAUGGGGUUGAGAAUGUGAUUUUGCUCUUCUUGAUUCAAACCAGAGAAAGAUUAGAUUUGAUCUCGGAGUUUCUUGAUGACACUUUGAUCUAAGUUGCUUGAAGGGGAUUCUUUUUCUCCUUUGUGGUUUAGAUUAAGGUAGAGAGUAAUGUCGAGCUCUUAUCAACAUUUUUCAUGGUUUGAGGCUUGAAGAACAUUCACGUUUUUCAAGCUCACUCAUGUGGACAACCUUGGCCCUUGUCUGAGAAGCAGCUUUUUCUCAUAUUCAGUUUUUCUAAAUUUGUUGUUUUAA
This 401-nucleotide small RNA is filed under the name Arabidopsis thaliana (thale cress). RNAcentral's name for it is "ATSL250170". The record is from RNAcentral. Lineage: Eukaryota; Viridiplantae; Streptophyta; Magnoliopsida; Brassicales; Brassicaceae.